UUGUGAAGCAGAAUUCACCAAGCGUUGGAUUGUUCACCCACUAAUAGGAAACGUGAGCUGGGUUUAGACCGUCGUGAGACAGGUUAGUUUUACCCUACUGAUGAUCAGCACCGCAAUAGAA
This is a long non-coding RNA of Alosa sapidissima (American shad), 121 nucleotides long. RefSeq lists it as uncharacterized. The transcript is spliced from 3 exons. NCBI's taxonomy places the organism in Eukaryota, Metazoa, Chordata, Actinopteri, Clupeiformes, Clupeidae. The record is from RefSeq and is a predicted model, not a curated record.